GCUGGGCAAAGUGAUGCGUGUCUGUCAUUCCAGCUACUGGGGAGGCUGAGACAAGGAUCGCAAGUUUGAGGCCCAUCUGGGCAAAUUAGCAAGACCCUGUCUCAAAAAUU
Molecule: small RNA, 110 nt
Filed under: Marmota monax (woodchuck)
Lineage: Eukaryota; Metazoa; Chordata; Mammalia; Rodentia; Sciuridae
Source: RNAcentral